UACAGAGGGUGCAAGCGUUAAUCGGAAUUACUGGGCGUAAAGCGCGCGUAGGUGGUUCGUUAAGUUGGAUGUGAAAGCCCCGGGCUCAACCUGGGAACUGCAUCCAAAACUGGCGAGCUAGAGUAUGGUAGAGGGUGGUGGAAUUUCCUGUGUAGCGGUGAAAUGCGUAGAUAUAGGAAGGAACACCAGUGGCGAAGGCGACCACCUGGACUGAUACUGACACUGAGGUGCGAAAGCGUGGGGAGCAAACAGG
RNAcentral lists this ribosomal RNA (253 nucleotides) under uncultured bacterium. Its description in RNAcentral is "partial 16S ribosomal RNA". It matches the Rfam family "Bacterial small subunit ribosomal RNA", at positions 524 to 776 of the family's 1533-position model. The record is from RNAcentral.